This 301-nucleotide ribosomal RNA is filed under the name uncultured bacterium. RNAcentral's name for it is "partial 16S ribosomal RNA". It matches the Rfam family "Bacterial small subunit ribosomal RNA", at positions 509 to 807 of the family's 1533-position model. The record is from RNAcentral.
CAGCAGCCGCGGUAAAACGAAGGGUGCAAGCGUUACUCGGAAUUACUGGGCGUAAAGCGUGCGUAGGCGGUUUGUUAAGUCUGUUGUGAAAUCCCCGGGCUCAACCUGGGAAUGGCAAUGGAUACUGGCAAGCUAGAGUGUGUCAGAGGAUGGUGGAAUUCCCGGUGUAGCGGUGAAAUGCGUAGAGAUCGGGAGGAACAUCAGUGGCGAAGGCGGCCAUCUGGGACAACACUGACGCUGAGGCACGAAAGCGUGGGGAGCAAACAGGAUUAGAUACCCCAGUAGUCCCUGUCUCUUAUAC